RNAcentral lists this long non-coding RNA (570 nucleotides) under Nicotiana benthamiana. RNAcentral describes it as "long non-coding RNA (NBEN_LNC007852)". Lineage: Eukaryota; Viridiplantae; Streptophyta; Magnoliopsida; Solanales; Solanaceae. The record is from RNAcentral.
UUUUUUUUUGGUAAUUAAAUUUGUAUUAAUCACCAAAUGGUUGCCUUGCAAAAUCAUAGGACAGUUUUAACUCGACUGCCUAUCAAACUGGACACUUGAAUAACCUAUACUACUCUAGCCAAAUCAGCAGAUUAUAACAUGAACUGCUGAAUAUAUGAACUAAGCCUAGGAGGAGCUCGAACAUUACAUAUAUAGGCUAUACUAGUAAGGAGCUUUUCACAGUUACAAAAGAUGUUUUCAAAGAUUCUCGCAUUCCUUUCUAACCAUAAACCAUAGAGCAUUUCUGUUACUGUCAUCUUGAUUGUAUGAGCUCGGGGAGAUUUCCCUUUAGAUUGUUCAAUGAACCAUUGGCAGAAUUGUGACCAAUCCUGCCCAGUGAAGUCUUCAACUCCAAUCCAUUGUAGCGUUUGGUAUCUCAGCUGGGAUGCAUAAGUGCAUUGCACAAAUAAGUGAUCUCUAGUUUCCAUAUCUUGCUGGCACAUAACACAGAUGCCUGAUACAUUCAGAUUCCAUUGCAGCAGCCUAUUCUUUGUAGGAAGUCUAUCUUGCAGUAACAACCACAAAUUGAAG